Molecule: ribosomal RNA, 477 nt
Filed under: uncultured bacterium
Lineage: Bacteria
Description: partial 16S ribosomal RNA
Rfam family: Bacterial small subunit ribosomal RNA
Source: RNAcentral
GAUGAACGCUGGCGGCGUGCCUAACACAUGCAAGUCGAACGAAGCACCUUACCUGAUUCUUCGGAUGAAAGUUUGGUGACUGAGUGGCGGACGGGUGAGUAACGCGUGGGUAACCUGCCCUGUACAGGGGGAUAACAGCUGGAAACGGCUGCUAAUACCGCAUAAGCGCACGAGGAGACAUCUCCUUGUGUGAAAAACUCCGGUGGUACAGGAUGGGCCCGCGACUGAUUAGCUGGUUGGCAGGGUAACGGCCUACCAAGGCAACGAUCAGUAGCCGGUCUGAGAGGAUGAACGGCCACAUUGGAACUGAGACACGGUCCAAACUCCUACGGGAGGCAGCAGUGGGGAAUAUUGCACAAUGGGGGAAACCCUGAUGCAGCAACGCCGCGUGAGUGAAGAAGUAUUUCGGUAUGUAAAGCUCUAUCAGCAGGGAAGAUAAUGACGGUACCUGACUAAGAAGCUCCGGCUAAAUACGUG